AAACCAUAAUCUUCCUCCUCCUCGCACAUGUAGUCAUCGUCGUUUUCAGACAUUCUACUUUGUAUUAUUUAAUAAACCACUAUGAAAAUAUGUUAUUUUC
Molecule: long non-coding RNA, 100 nt
Organism: Aricia agestis (brown argus)
Lineage: Eukaryota; Metazoa; Arthropoda; Insecta; Lepidoptera; Lycaenidae
Exons: 3
Source: RefSeq, a predicted model, not a curated record